AUAUCCUGUGAACAUGAAUACCCUGAUUAGUCAAUGUUAUAUAAAUGAACAACGAAGCCAACAGACAGCAUUCCAUCAGAAGCCUCACAGUAGGUACAAAAGAUAAGAACUGAACAUGGAAAUUCAUGAACAGGCUACUUAUUUUAUUAUAGGGGCAAAAUAGUAAUUAUACAUUAUCAUCGAUGCAAUCGUUACAAUAAUUCUCACCUCCCUUGUAGACAGGGGGGACGGUCUACAAGGAGUGAAGGAACAACUUGGAUCUCCGUAGGCCUACGGUAGCCAACUGGGCCCAGCCCCAGCUGGUGGCCAACUAGUCACUCCCCCCUAAAGAGCCUUAAGAACAACUUGGCCUAUGGCAGGAGGAGACAUCAACAUGUCUCAUAUGACACCCCCCCUAAAACAAAUACAUGGAAAAGAAUUACAACAAAUUGUCUCGGCCAUUAUCUUCCUACUAAUUUCUACUAUUUUAUCCUAAUAUUGCUUUCUAGGAAUUCCAAUGUUGGAAAAUUACAGUUUUGGUCCCUGAAAACUCUAUGACCCUGACACUCCCCCACUUAAACGGUCGACGUCCUCGUCGACUGGGUUUGUUGGGGUUCUUCAAUCUUUGAGUCCGACAUUCUUAGGCUUGUAGUGUGAUUUGAUCCCAGUCCUGCUCCAUUAAAUUGUUGGACAGCCUUAAUCCUUAGUAUCUCCUCCCAAUUGAUCUCUGUGGACUGCUACUUCUUAAUGAUGAUGAGACUACAAAAGCUCUAUCUUCUGGUGGUAAAUGUUCUGCCCUUGAUUCCUUAGACUACUGCAAACGGUGCUAGAAAGUAUUGCUCUCCUCCUCUGCACGAACUUAUUGCUUGAAGUCAUUGAUCACUGGUUCUUUUCUCUGCACGAACUCAUUGCCUGAAGUCAUUGAUCACUAGUUCUUUUCUCCUAAACCUGUCUCGCCAUUACUCGUCUUUACUUGUCGACCUUACUCCUCGCCUCAAAAAGCAUGACCCCAUCAGGCAACAAAUCUAUCAACCUGCAUACACUCGUGCCACACGACAUCGUGAUUAACCUGUAAUAGUCUCAUAAGAAAGAUUAGUACCACCCAUGUCAGAUUCAAAUACAAAUUAGUAUAGCAAGUCAUCUAAAAUACAACCCAUUACAACUCAACAGGUGUGCCAAUCACACUUGACCACUAAGACUUGAACUGAUUUUAUCCAUUCCCUUGACAUAACACCACAUUAUCCCACUUGCAGCGAAGCUCGGCGAAUACUCCUAAGAAAUCGGUGUCUCCAUUGUCAAUAGAGAUCACUCCACACUCUCUUUCUCUUUUGUCCGUUUUACAGUCCUCCCUUCAUAAGCUUUGGUAUUAUGCUCACUUAAUCUCCUUUUUCUCUCUCCCUAAGAAUGUAGUUAAAGCAAAAUGCUUACAAAAUGACACACAUCACACACCAAAUAACCACGACCACUGAACCCUAUGAGCCGCAGAAGACUACUCAAAACAGCUACUAAGAUUGACUAUACAUAAAGCAAUUAAUAUCAUCAUUAUGAUUCAAUAAUAAGAAAUUACUAGAAGAUACCCCCUUUAUUAUGCCGCUUUCAUCAUAGCUCUCAACAUCGACUUGCCUCACCAACUUAGCUUAAGCAACCUGUGCUUCUCGACCUAUCUCGGUCCUCUUCCAUGUUGAUCCACUUGUGAGAACUUUUGUUUAGCCCUGAGGUCUCUUUCCUGCUCAACAACAAGGGUAGGACUAAAUUUGUCCUUUUAAUUAUACAUUAUUUUCCAAUCCUCUUUUUAAGGAAGCUAUACCCUGUAUGUUCACAAUAUCUGUUAGCACCAACUUGUCAAGUCCCACAUCACGAGGAACCUGGCUCAAUAAUACACAAAAUAUCUAAAAAAUGAAUAACUAAAAUGAAGUAAGACAAAGAAUAAUAUCAGGAAACACCAAAGCACUAUACUUGUCUGGUGUGAGAGAGUUCCCUCUUGUUAAAUUCCCUUCUCUCGUACUGAAUUGUCACUAAGGAUCUCCACCUCUCCUCAUUACCUUGAGCCCCACACUCCUUUGACUAGCUCACUGGUCCUCACUUUUGCCAGUUUCCACUUAUCCUCCUUCUUGUGUCGUAGGACGAGUGAAUUCCUUGCUUUCACAGCCCUGUUGCUCUCAAUGGAAUUUGAUACAACUCUCGCCCAAUGUCACCCUACAUGCCUCUUGGUUGUCCGAUCAAAAUGUUCACUUACCUCAAAGAGAAUGAACAUGUGCUCUGCAAUCAUAGUUGGUUGGCACCUAUCAUCCAUUGUUUCAUACUCUUGUAAUUGUUAUUUUCCUUUUUAGGGUAUGCCUUUCCUAUUUUGAUGCUCGUUUUCUGUAUUCCUGUAAAGGAUAUGUUUUUGAGAGAUGAGGCAACUACCACUUUUGAUCUAUCACCAUCUCAUCCACACCAGUGUUUCACAUGGAUCCCUCAAGGCUCUUCUUUCUGCACUAACAACAUUGCACAACCUAGCAAGAGUUACAGGAGCAAUAACUUGCUCACUAAUUACGCACCAGGAUCAAGUAAUUUAUAAAAGAAUAUCAUAACAGUUGAUAACCAUGGUACUCAUUUCUCAUAAUGACCACAUUUAUUUAUUUACCUAUUUUGUUCCACUUACUCACAAAUAGACAAUACUUCAUCGAAUGCUACUUUUUGUCGAGUUUACUCUUGCACCCCCUCGUGCUAGAUAGCCACUAGGUUCUUCUUCACUACUCUUGCUUACCUCUCCUUUAUCAAGGAACAAUUAUUGGACAAUACAGAGAUAACUUGUGCCUUUCUUGGGAGACGCCACACCCAUUAACGUCUCGGAUUCACUACAGGAAGGAAUUGUGAAGUCCAUCUUGCUUUUUGAUGUCCUUGAUUAAGCGAGUUUGUCAAAGGACAUGCUCACAUUAAUCCCUGCACUCAAGUUGUCCGCUUUAUCUCUAUUUCCUCAUAUCAUCCACUUCAGUUUUAGUCUUGAUUCUAGCAAUUGUGUAAACGGUCCACGAAUCUUGUAUCUUGUGCCCGCUUCGUAGCAUCAACUCCAAUGUACCUGACACCGGGCAAUGAUAUGUUGUUUUAUACUAGGUCCGAUUCUCAUUUCCUCUCUUAAAGUCCUCUAUGAGACUUUAAAGAUCUCCUCGUCCGUCCCAUGUCCCUUAUUUGACACAUAACUCGCAGAAUAUUUCCAUCAUGCUUGAUCCCUUCACGCGAACAAUACUACCUUAGACGAGGAGGAACAAGAAAAUACAAACAACUUAGAGUUGACAACUCUAUGAUUUAUACCUUAUGUUCCCUCCUCCCUUACUCACCAAGUCCUUCAAGACCUUCGAAGCAUUUUUGCCCAAGCAAUUUGUAGAAUAAUAUGGCUUUCUUCAUAGAGAACACUUCAUACUGCUUAGUUAUGCCACUUCUAUGUCAUCUUGUUAAUCACAUUUCAGAUCGCUCCCCCACUUACUGCUUUAGCCCAUCUUCUUAGGCGGCUAUCAAUUAGAUACCAGAGUUGAACAUCUCUUUAACUCCUUGGUAAUAGAAUCAACUCAAUCUUAGUCAUCCUUUGCUCUACACCAUAUUCAGGAAGGUUUUAAGCUCAUCCAUGUCUCUUGAAUCUGUUGUCACAAUCCGCUUACUCUAUUAAAGUCAAGUGCCACAUUCUUUCGUGUUAGCCAUAUAUGCUAAACAAUUCCUUUAUGUACUUUCCUUAUGAACACUUUGUUGGAGUUUACCAACUCUCUUGAAUAACGAAUGUUACUUGUAGUAAAAUUGAAGCUUACCAUUUCAUAUCCCUUUUCUCAUGUCCAGUGGGAACGCUCUCUAUCCAUAAGACUUUACACUUUCAUCCUUGGAAUAAAUUUAGCUUUAUAGUUCGAUCACAUAAAUGUUGUUCUUUAUAUAUAUGCACAAUCACAAUUCCCAAUAAUAUUAACAAAUAAGUUCAUAUUAAAGAGAAAAUCAUCUACCUCCAUCCCACGACACAGAUUGAGGUUCUGGGAUUCCACCAUUGCCUACUUCAUAGGCAUUAGCUCGUAAUGCACGCCAUUAAUAAAUGUUCCUCUGGUUCACUUCUGAAGUAUUGCUCAUAGUCUCUCCUAUGUUAUCUUUAAUAUUCUUGCACCAUUCCUGCAAGCAAAAACAAUACAUGAGAGGCUUUUGCCUCACUUUUGUCUCAGAAGGCCUCUUGCCUCAAUUCUAUCUCAGGAGGCCUCUUGCCUCAAUUGUGUCUCAGAAGGCCUCUUGCCUUAAUUUUGAGUGAAAUGGUCUCGGGAUUCUCAGAUGGCCUCAAGCUCUAUUGGCUCAUCCUCCCCCUUAUCACUAUACCUGAGGUCAUUACUCCCUCUCCAAGGGCCACUAAAAGGAAGUAGGUAGCACCUAGUCAUUACCCUCUCUCCAGAAGACAUUUCCAAUGGAGUGUGCAGUACUAGGCUAUUACCUCACUCCCAAUGGUGUCCCGAUGGAGCGUGCAGCACCUCUAGUUAAUAUGGCCAGUCUAGCCCGAAGGCUCAUGCUUUUGUCUUCUUUGCCUCACAAUGUGUUAUUACUCCACGUAGCUUCAUAAUUGGGAGGUCACUACCUCCCCCUUUCCCCACUUUAUGCUCAAGAUCACCCCACUGGGUGUCAUUCGCAUGAAAGAGGCUUUGGAUGGCCUCAAUCUCUCGCCAAUUUGGCUAUCAUUGCCAACAACGUUCAUUUUUUUUUUUCCCAUUUCUAGUGCCUCAAAGCACUUCUAACCAGAAUCAAUCUCCAACGCCUUCUCCUCUUAAGUGGUAUAGACAACCCACCAGGCAGCACGAUUCUCACCCUUCUCUCAAUGGUCUUCGUGCAUUUCUUUUAUAUUGCUCGCAGAUCUUUCUUGCUCUGAUACCAAUUGUCACGGUUUCAGAUUUUAGCAAUCGCCAGGAACCGUGCGGCACUUGACUUGAACACCUUCAAGCCAAGUCAGCCUUAAGAAUCACCCAAUAUCCUGUGAACAUGAAUACCCUGAUUAGUCAAUGUUAUAUAAAUGAACAACGAAGCCAACAGACAGCAUUCCAUCAGAAGCCUCACAGUAGGUACAAAAGAUAAGAACUGAACAUGGAAAUUCAUGAACAGGCUACUUAUUUUAUUAUAGGGGCAAAAUAGUAAUUAUACAUUAUCAUCGAUGCAAUCGUUACAAUAAUUCUCACCUCUCUUGUAGACAGGGGGGACGGUCUACAAGGAGUGAAGGAACAACUUGGAUCUCCGUAGGCCUACGGUAGCCAACUGGGCCCAGCCCCAGCUGGUGGCCAACUAGUCACUCCCCCCUAAAGAGCCUUAAGAACAACUUGGCCUAUGGCAGGAGGAGACAUCAACAUGUCUCAUAUGACACCCCCCCUAAAACAAAUACAUGGAAAAGAAUUACAACAAAUUGUCUCGGCCAUUAUCUUCCUACUAAUUUCUACUAUUUUAUCCUAAUAUUGCUUUCUAGGAAUUCCAAUGUUGGAAAAUUACAGUUUUGGUCCCUGAAAACUCUAUGACCCUGACACUAGUCAUUCGACUUUAAUUCUCAAGAAUUACACUCAACGUCUAAAUAUUAAAAAUAAAAACAUAUAAUGGUUUUUCGUUUUAAAAAAAAAAAACAAAUCAAAGAAUUACCAAACCUUGCCUAAUAUCAAGCAAGCAACUUCCUGUGGUGCUGUUGAUAAGUUAUAUCAAGUUCUGGUACUUAAAAAGGGCUUUUGAAUUUUCGAGGAAGGUGGCAAGGCAUAAAAUUCAACAACUAGUAGAUAUUUUUUAAUCACUAUCUCUAAUUAAAAUAAUAAAUUUAUUUAGUAUUUUUCUUAGUAUAUAUUCAAACUAAUAUUCUUUAAAAAAAAUUAGAUUAGCUAUGUUAUUAUUAUUUUUUUUAAACUAAUGAAUGUUAUCAUGUUUUAAACUUGUGCACGAAGUCACCAAGAAUUAUCUGGACCGAAAUUUCUGAGGAAUUAAGCACCAUGAAAUUGCAGCAUCUUUUCUUAAUGGAAGAGUAUAUAUUCAAAACUUUGACUAUCAACUAAUAAGCAAUUAAUUUAAUUAAAUUAGAGAGUUUGUGUAGGCUAAUAAUAAAUCUAUUAACAAAUCAAAAGAUAAUUAACAAAUAUUUUCUUACCAUAAAAUUUAAUCUAAUGAGAAAUUUACAAUAUUUUAUUAUAAUCAUUUAUUUAUUUUUAUAUAAACUAUUCAUGAGAUACGUACAAUGAGGCCAUAAGGCAAAGUAUUCUGCAACUUCCAUGUGAAAUUGCCCUAAUGGCGAGGUAAUUCUUUUUCUUAAAACCAAAUUCAUUCACACGUGUAUGUAUAUGUAUGUAUUUUAACAUGUAUAUUUAUAACAAAAUCUGAAGCAUACAUUGAUUGUUGUCCAGUUUGAUGAUGAAGCUGCUGUUGCUAACGUUGAUUAUUGGUGGAACAAUCCCUAGUUCUCUUGGAGUUGAACUUGAAAGCUUGGUUUCUCAAAGGGGAAGGUUUGGUUCACAAAUUGCUGGGAAGAACAACUACUUGGGGUUUGAGGAUCAUGUGAAGAGAAACCAUACGAGGGGAAAUUUCAGAAGCAAACGUGAAAAUAUACAAACUGCUUUUGCUUCCAACCAAAAUUUUGAUGCCAAUUUCAGACACAAUCACAUGAUAAUGCCAAGACUACUUAUGAAGCGAUAUCCUUGUCACUACACUUCUGGUGUUCCUAGUUGCAGUCCUCCUGGUGGUCAUGGUUGAUUUUGCAGUGGGAAGGAUGAGUGUGCGAUUGGGAGAAUUAUUAUUUAAUUUUUAUAAUAUAUAAAAAUUUACUAGUUAAUAUCUCAGUUUUAAAAAUUAUAUUAAAAUAUUUUUAAUAUUUUAAAAAGCCUAUUAAUUAGUUAUUCCAUUAGUUUUAAUUAUUAAACAUUAUAAAAAAAAUCUAAAAUACUCCUAGAGCGACUAAUUAUUAAACUUUUUAAAAAUAUAAUCUACUAAUUAAUAAAUUUUUUAAAAUUAUAAAAAUUAAAUAAUAAAAUAUUUAAUAAAAAAAUUAAUAGAAAAAUUAACUAGUAUAUUUUUAAACGUUAAAAAUAUUUGAAUAUAUUUUUUAAAAUAGAAAAUUAAUUAAUAAAUUUUUUCAUAUUUUAAAAACUAAAGAGUAAUUUUUUCAAAUUAUUAAUAUUGAAUAUAUCACGGUUACUUUGCUCCUGAUAUUUCUGACUUACCCUAGUCGUCAUCUUGUUUGUAAGAACUAAAUGCUUGUCCGUGCGAUAUAUAAGUAUUUUUAUUUUUAAAAUUAUUAAUAAAAUAAAAAUAUAAUAUAUAAAUUUAGAUAAAAUAUUAAAAAUAAAAUUUUGAGAACAUAUCUUAUAAAUAUUUGUGAAAAUUUUGUUCUAUCAUGCUCAAAUAUAUUUUUGCUUUGGCUUCUGAAUUUUAACAAUAGAGAUUUGUAAUGAUUUUAUAUUUAUAGACAAUUUUUUUUAUUAAAAUAGAGUAUAUUAUUUUUUAAUAUUAUUUUUAUUUGACAUUCAUUCAUGUUUAUAUACUUAUGGUUGUAACUUUUUGUAUUCAUUAUUAUAAUUUAUUAAUUAUUUUUCAUUUUACUUGUCAUUUACAUAUUUAUAUUCAUAUUAUAAUUCAAUUUUAUGUUGCAGCUUUAAUUACAAAUUCAAUGUUAUAAUAUUUAAAUAAAUUUAGAUUUAAAUAAAUAUUUUAUAAUCAUAUCAAUGAGUAAUUAAUAAUAAAAAUAUGACUAUAUAUUUAAUAAGACCAAUAAGAAGUAUUGUUUCAGGAAAAAAAUAUCAACAAUUAAGAGUUAAAUAUAACUAAAAAGUAAAUAUAACAUGUGUUAAAAUUAUGAUUAACUGGUUAAUUAUUACGUGUUUUUAAUUAUUUUUAUUUAUUAAUUUUAAAUUUAAGAAUUUUUUUAAAAUUUUUUUUCUCACACAUAUAUAUUAAUUGUAUUUAAAUUUUUUAUGUUAAAUAUUAAAAAAAUAAAAGGUUAUAUAUUUAUUAGGAAUAAUAGUAAGAUUAAUAAAUUUGAUUAAAUAUGCAUAUUAAUUAUUAUUAGAUUGAAGUUAUUUUCUUUUAAAAAAAUAGAAUUAUCUAUUAAUUAAUAAUAAUAAUAAUAAGAUAGAGAAAAAAAUAGAUAAUUAAAAAAAUCAAGUAAAAUGACAAAUAGUUAAAUUGAAUUUUGGUUAAAAUUGAUUUUUGUUCAUAACUAAAAUUAAGCCAAAAUUAUAAAUCAACAGAUAUGAAGAGUUGAGGGAUGUCAAGAACAGUUGCAGAGUUGAGUUCCACGUCUUCUGCUACAAACUCUGAUUUGAACUUCUAAGAUCAUCUUUCCUUUCCACAGUAGACACAAGUUCGAGCAACAAUGGCUCAACGAAGCUCAUCACGUGCGUGUAAAUGUUUCAGACCAUGUAAUUCAAUCCUUCAGUCCAUCUCGAACUUACAUAUUACUAAAUUAAACCAAUUUGGUCUAACAAUUUUUCUUAUUGCACAACCUAAAAUUAGAUGGAAAUUUUUUCUAUUUUAUUUUUACUUUUUUUUUUAUUAUUUUUUUACCUUCCUCUCAUUUUGUUUUCUGUUUUAUUUAAUAAAAAAUAAACAUUAUUUUAUGUACAAUUUCCCACUAGAUAAAAUUUGCAAUCUCAAUCCUCAUACAAAUUUUUGUUAAAUAUAAAUUUAUUUUAAGAUGAUAAAAUUAUAUUAUAUAUUUUAGUAAUCUUUAGUUUUUUCAUAAUUUAAUUUCAAGGCUAAUUAAUCCAAAAAAUUAACAUUUAUAUAUAUUUGUAUUUUAAUUUAAAUUUUUUAAUUUUAAUUGUUUAACUGGAUGACAUAUAUAUUAUUAUUAUUUUAAUUAAUUAAUCGAUGGAAAAAAAUCUAACAUUUAUUUAAUUUUAUAUUUUAAUAUAAACGUUGUUUAUAUUUAAAUAUAAUUUUAGUCAAUUUUUAAAAAUAAAUAAUUUAAUUAUUAAAUAUAUAAUUUAUAUAUUUAACAGUAAUAAAUUUUAUUUUAUAAUAAUAAUUAUAAAUAUUUUAUAAAAAAUAUAUUAUUUAAUUUAAAAUAAUAACAUAUAUAAAAUAAUUAAAAAUAUUAUAUUUAUUAUAAAUUUUUUAUAAUUAUUAAUGCAAAAUAAAUUUUAUUUACUGUUAAAAUUACCAACUGCAUAUUUAACUGUAAGAUUAUUAUUAGAUUUAAAAUUAAAUACGUAUGAAUUAAUAUUAUUUUAUAUAUAAAAUUAGUUUAUAUUUAAAAAAAUAAAAUAUUAAAUUUGUCAUUGUAUUUGACAGAUACAUUUUGAUAUUUCAAAAUCAAUUAAAAAAUGUAAAUGUUGAGAUAAUUAAUUUAAAAUUUAAAUAUUUGGAUUAAAGUCUAAAAUAAUAUAAAUAUUAGAUUUUUUCAAUUCAUUUGGUGAUUAGUUUAUAUAAAUAAUAAAAACAAUAAUACGUUAAACAAUCAAAUUGUUAUGUAACACUAUCAAAUUUAAAAAUUUAUAAAUUAAUUAAAUUUAUAUAAAAAUGCAAAAUUGACCAAUCAAAUCAAAAUUAAAAGAUUUAGAUUAAAAUAUAAGUACAUGCAAAUAUUUAGCCUUUUUAAAUUAAUUGGUCUAAUUUUAAUGAUAAUUAUUUUUUAAUCAUAUGCUAUUAUAUAGAAUUUAGCAAUUUAUAGUUUAAUUUAAUUUUUUAUGUAUAAAAGUUAGAUAUAAUAGUGAUGAAGGCCUUUUAUCUUAAACGACCAACACAAAGAAAUUAGAGAAUUUCUAAGAAACUUUGAGAGAGAUGGCUUUGAAUUAGAAUGAGCUUGCCUAAUUAGUAUAACUUUUUGCGGUGCUGUUGAGUUAAUAAUGCUCAUCACCUCUAAUUAAUUAAUAUUAAUAAUUAAUGUAUGCAUAAGAUGAUGAGCAAGAAUAAAGUUCAUGUUAAUAACAAAAAAAAUAAUAAUAAUAAUUAAAAAGAAAAGGCAACAGCAAAUCAAAGAAUUACCAGAUCUUCCCUAAUUGGCAUCAAACAGGCAACUUGUUCUGGUGCUGUUAAGUUAUUAUCAAGUCUGGUACUUGCUCAUCACUACUUCCCUUUGAUUUCUGAAUUUUCCAGGAAGGUGGCGUGGCAUCAAAAUUCCGAGCAGAAGCAAUCAAUAUUCAAUAUUCAAUAAACUAGUUAGUCCAAGUCUACCAAAACUACCCCAUUAAUUCUUUUUGGAAAAUUUUAAUUUGCAAUGCAAAAUUUUGACUAUUUAAAUUAUUUUGUCCAAUCAAAAUUUAAAAUUGCUGAAAUCAUAGUAGAUUCUGCUAUUUACAAAAAUAUAUUAAUAACUUUUAAUGAUUUGGGCGGAUAAGCAUUAUCCUGUCUCUUAAUUCAGGGAUAAUUUUUAUUUAAAUUAUUUAAUUUUUAGUGUAUUUUUAAUUUAAUUACUCAAUUGUAAUUUUUUUCUUAAAACUUCUUAAAUUUUAGUUUAAUUUCAUAAACUCCUUUUCACCUAUUACUACAGAUUUCAAGUUACAAUAAAUAAAAAAUAUAAUUUUUCUUUUCUUUCUAAUCAUCCAUCUUCCAUUUUUAUUCUCUCUUGCCUUUUUAUUUUAUUUCUUUUUUUGUAUUUACUCACAUAAUUUAUUAAUUAUUUUAUUUUAAUAGUUUAAUUAAUAUUAUUAUAUUUUAUUUUUAAAUCACACUAAAAAAUUUAUUAAUAGUAAAAAUAUUAAUUAGAUACAAUUUUAUUUUAAAUAUUAAUAAAUAAUUUUUAGAUAUUAAUUUAGAUAAUUUCAUAGGCAAAGUUUUAGUAUUUAUGCAAUUGUAUUGUACAUAUUAUUUAUUAAUUAUUUUAAAUAUAUAAUAUUUUUAUUUUUAAAAGAAAAUUAUAAAAUUUUAUUAAAAUAAAUUAUUUAUUAAUUAUUUUAUUUUUUAAGUGUUUCAAAUAUCAAAAAAUUAAAAAGUAUUUUUAUAAAAAUUAUUUUUUGAAAUAAAUGGAAGUUAGACGUAUUUUCCAAGUCCAUAUGUCAUGUGGUUCCAAAUAUCAUUAGUGUGUUUAGACUUUAUUUUCUUUUAAAAUAAAAAUUAAAAAUUAGGAUAGUAGAAUCUGAAAUUUUUUAAAGAUAUUUAAAUGUAUUUAUCUUCAGACUAAUUCUAUAAGUGCGUGUUUAGACUUUAUUAUCAAACGUAUAAUAAAGAUCAGUCACAUCCAUAUUAUAUGCAACUUGAUAGAAUAUCACCCAAGUAAUUUACAAAAAUUAUUAAAUAAUUAUAUUUGCUUGUCUUUUUUUUUUCUGUAAAAUUAAAAAUAAAAUGAGAAGGGUGAUUCAUUUUCAUGUAUUUUUUUUUCUUAGCCUCAUAAUUCUUGUUAGAGCUUGACAAUUACUUCAACUUUAUAUCUGGAAAGAUUAAUAUGAAAUAAUUUUUUUUUUAAUUUUAUAAAUUCAGAAUUAUGUAUAUGAUGAAAUACUACUGAAAAUGAAUUAAAUUUUAUUGGUAUAACAUAACUCUCUUCUCACAAAUGAGUGGCUAAUAUAAAGCGGAUAAGAAUCAAAUUGAUGUGCAUACAUUAAUGCAGUGGGAGUUGGUGGGAAGACUUUGAAAAUGCUUUUCGUUUCAAAAUAUUUUUCAUAGAAAAUGUUUUUAUUCUUUAAUUUUAAUUUAAAAAAUAAAAUUUAUUAAUAAAUUUAUAUAUAAAGAUUUUAAUAAAAGUUUUAAUAUAUGAAAAAUAAUUUUUUUAAAAGAGAAAAUUAUUUUUUUUUAAAUGGGUUACUUUUUUUAUUAACUAAAAAAAUAUUUUUUUGUUGAUUAAAAUUUUUUGAAUACUCAAAACAUUAAGAAAAUGAAAAAUAUUUUUUUAAAAAAUAUUUUUCGUAAAAUAAAUGGAGUCUAAGAGAUUUAAUUCUUGAAUGUUCCCAAAGUCUAAUUUUGGUAAUAGCAAAAAAAUAUAAUCUCAUAUUCAUAUAUAGUACCCAUAAACUAUGAUGAGGAAGACAAUUUAGGCAAACUAUAUGUUCAGAAACUUCCAUCAAAAUUAAGUUGCUCUAAUGGGAAGGUAAUUAAUUCUCAACACUAAAUUUCAUGUAUAUUUUUUCUUUUGCACAUGCAUAUAUGAAAUCUGAAAUAUAUAUUCUUCGUUGUCCAGUUCGAUUACAAGGCUGAAGUUGUUGCUGCUGCUAAUGUUGAUUAUCGAUGGAACAAUCCCUAGUUCUCUUGGAGUUGAACUUGAAAGCUUGGCUUCAAAAAAGGUGCGAAAAUUUUGAUUUAGUAAACUGUAAAUUAAUAAUAUUUUAUUUAAUAUUUAAGUUCAAAUAAUUAUUUAAAUUUUUUAAAUAAUAUCUGUUUAAAAUUUAAAUUAUUUAUUAUUGUUGUAUUUAGAUUUUUCAAUUAUAUUUGAAUAGCAAUAUGAUAAAUAUCAACUCUUUUAUCUUCUUCUCUUUUCAAAAAAACCCACAAAAGGGAAGGUUUGAUCUUCAAGGUGAAGGAAAAUCAAAUACUUGGAAGAAGAGCUACUUGCGUUUUGAAGAUCAUGUGAAGAGAAACCAUAUGAGGGAAAAUUUCAGAAGCAAACAUGAAAAUAUACAAACUGCUUUAGCUUUCGACAAAACUAUUGAUGCCAAUUUCAGACACAAUCAUAUGAUAAUGAGAAGACUACUACAAAAGGGGGCAUCAUUUUCUAAACCUAUUCCUUGUCAUUAUACCACUGGUAAAGGUAGUUGCAGUCCUUCUGGUGGUAGAGGUUGAUUAUGUAGUGUUUUUUUUUCUUUUAUUAAAAAGUUGAGAUAAUGUCAAAAUUAAGCGAGCAUUUAAAAAGGCUAAAAUAAGGGCUUGCUUACUGAAUCACUGUAUGCAAAUUUAGGCUUACAUUAAUAAAAUAGAAAGCUUUUCUUUUUGUUAUUUAAUUUUGAUGAUCAUUAUUUUGUUAUUCAUAUGGCGCCACUGAAAGAGCAAGAGAAUAACAGAGGAAAUGGGCCAAACAACGAUAAUUUUAUUACUGUAGGACUAUGAAUUUGUACAUGAAUGAAGAUGAUUCUGGAUGAUGGCCUGUAUAGUUUUCAGAAUAAUCUAUUCCUUAUACAGCUGUAUAAUGCUAACAGGCUAAAAGAAUAAGAAAAAGAAUGAAAGAAUAAAGAAUUAAAAAAAGGAAAGAAACGUGUUUUCUCAGCCUGAUACCAAAAUGCCCCAUUUAGCUUUUGGUAUCAACGCACCGUUUUGCAAUCUCUUUACACUUUUUUUUUUUUUUUUUAUUUCUCCCUCAUAAGAUGAGAACGAGUUAAAAGAGAGAGGUCUCAUUUUCCUAAGUAGGGCAUGAAAACAAGAGUUAGAAGGUAGUUUUGUAAAUAAAUCGGUGAUUUGGAGCUUAGAGGGGACAUACACCGGUAGAAUGAAUCCUUGUUGUACUUGUUCUCAAACGACAUAACAGUCGAUAUCGAGAUGUUUGGUGCAUUCAUGGAAAAUGGGAUUUGUGGCAAUGUGUUGAGCCGCCCGAUUAUCGCAGUCGAUAUCGAGAUUUUUGGUGCAUUCAUGGAAAAUGGGAUUUGUGGCAAUGUGUUGAGCCGCCCGAUUGUCGCAAUGGAGAAGUAUAGGUAAGUCUAGUUGUAUAUGAAAUUCUCACAAGAGAUAACUUAUCCACUUGAUCUCACAAACAGUGGAGGCCAUACUGUAGUACUCUGCUUCCAUGGAUGACCGACUAACAGUGUUCUAUUUCUUCGUUUUUCAAGAGAUUUGGGAGGGACAAAGGAAGAUGUAGAAGCCAGUGAGAGAUUUGUGGGAGAUGGGACAUGCGGCCCAAUCAGUGUCACAGAAAACACGAAGCUUGAAAUCUUUGCCAGUGGGAAAGAAGAGACCUUUGUUGGGGCUUCCUUUGAGAUACUUAAGAACAUGAAUGGCAAGUUGCCAAUGUGUGUCUUCGGAUUGUUGAAUGUGUUUAUUGAGCUGUUGAGUAGCAUAAGUAAUAUCAUGGUGUGUGAGAGUUAAGUACAAGAGUCUACCCAUCAGGCGUUUGUACUUCUCUGGAUCGGGAAGCAGAUUGCCAGUUUCGGCUAUCAGUUUGACCCCUUCGAGAAAGGGUACAAGGAUAGGUUGUGCUUCUGUGAAGCUAGCAUCCUCAAGGAUGUCAAGAAUAUAUUUUAGCUGGCUAAGGAAAUUACCACUAGUGGAUCCGACUACUUUAAUGUCUAGGAAAUAAUGAGCAAAUCCUGGGUCUUUAAUAGAGAAGCUGAGUAUCCAGGUAGUGUUUGAGGUUUGUAAUGUCUUGUUCAUUAGCGCCUGAAAUGAGAACAUCAACAUAGACAAUUAAAGCAAGAAAAGUAGAAUUGGACCCUUUAACAAACAAGCAGUGAUCAAAUGGUGACUGCUUAGACCCAUAAGUUUGUAGGGAAGCAAUAAGCUCCUUGUUCCAUUGACUCUUAACCAGUUUGCAAACUUGUCCCGACUUAGCUUUUUGAUAACUUUCUGGAGGUUACAUAUAUAAUUCUUCAUCAAUAUGUUCAUAGAGCUAGGCAUUGUUGAUAUUCAAUUGGUGAAUAAGCCAUUCAAAGGCUGUAGCUAUUGUAAGAAAAACCUGUACUGUGACCAGUUUAGCUACAAGUGAGAAAACUUCUUGGAUAUCAAUUCCAGGGAGUUGGCUAUACCCUCUAGCAACCAAUCUAACUUUAUGUCUAUCCAUGGAUCCAUCUGGAUUGUGUUUAAGUUUAUAGACCCCUUUGGAGCCAAUAGCUCUUUUGCCUUCAGGUAAUUCAGUGAGGACCCAUGUAUUAGAAAAAAUAAAUUCUUAAUGAGAAAACAAUAUAAUAAACAUCAAGUACAUAAAAGUAUGUUACUCCGUAUUAUUAAAUAAAUUAUCCUAUGUAGAUAAAAAGAAAGAAAAUUAUUAUUUAGUACAUAUAAUUUAAAAAAAAUUUUAAUUAAUUUUUUAUUUUAAAAAAUAUAUUAAAAUAUUAUUGAAAUUUUAAAAAUUUAAUAAUUAAUUAUUUUAUUAAUUUUUAUAAAAAUUUAAAAUAAUUUUAAUAAAAAAAAUUAAUUCAUUACAAUGAUUAAUGAUAAAUUUUUUAUAUUAUAAGAAUUAAAUAAUAAAAUACUUAAUGAAUAAAAUUAAAAAAACAAUUAAUUAGUAGAUUUUUUAAAAUAUUAAAAAUAUUUUAAUAUAUUUUUAAAAUUAAAAAAUUAAUUAAUAAGUUAGUUUAUAGAAUAAAAAUUAAAUAGUAAAACUAAAUCCAUAAAAAAUUAUAUAUAUCUUUUAUUUAAAAAUGUAAGAUAUAGUCUCUCCUAAUAGUUUUUAGGGUCAUCUUAGAGGCAUAUUAUAUUUACAAUAUCCUAAAAGAAAGUGUCCAAAAUUAUUAAAUAUUUUAUCUCUCUUAUAAUUUUUAUUUAUUUUUUUAAUUAUUUUAAGAUUAUUUUUUUACAUAAUAAUUAUAUAUUAAAAAAAUAAAAUAAAUAAAAUUAUAGGAGAAAAAAGUAUAUAAUAGUGAGAUAUCUAAAUUUUAAUUUGUAAUACAAAACUUUGACUAUUAAUUAAACUAAUAUAAAAUCUCUUAUCACUUUUAAUCUCUAAUUUUCAAAUCAUAGUGUACAGGGCAGAAUUUUAAAAUUUAAAGUAAUUGAAUUACUUAUUUACCCCCAAAUAAAUUUAAAUCUAUCUACCCAAUCCCGGCCCUAUCCAUAUUUGUAUCUUUCCCUCUUCCUCACUCAAGCCAUGGAUACCCUUUCUUCCAUUAUCUUCCAAUCCUUCUUUGUUUCUUUGUCCCACAUGACCCUUAAUUAAUUAAUGUUGUCGUCAACUAAUUGGUUAAUUGUGAGACUACGAAUAGUAAUACUAAUACCCGUUUAUUUGUGAAAAUAAUUUUAAAAAAUAUUUUUUUAAAAAAUAACUUAUUUUUUAUUGUUAAUUUUAAUUUAAAAAAUAAAAUAAAUUAAUAGAUUUAUAAAAAACGACGUUAAUAAAAUUUUUAAAAUGCAGAAAAUAUUUUUUUAAAUGAUAAUAUCUUUUUUUUAAAAUUUUUUUAAAUUUUUUUAACAAUAAAAUAUUUUUUAUUAAUUAAUACUUUUAGUAUCCAACACUAAAAAAUUUAAAAAUAUUUUUUAUAAAAAAAAAAAGCCAAGUCUAUUCCAUUAAUUUAGAGUUGGUAUUCUAAAUAUCGAUAUAUGAUUGAAAGGAUUCAUUUUAUAAUAAAAAAAAAUUAAAUGAAUUCUUAUAAAAUUUUAUAUAAUUUUAAUUUAUUUUAAAAUGAAAAAUUUUAAGUUAAAAAUUUUUAAAAUCUUUUGUUAUAUAUAAAAAGUUAAUACAUACUUAUGGCCCUAUAUUUUUAUAUUUUUAUUUAUUAAAUAUUUUAAUUUUAAUUGUAAUUUAAUAAAUACUUAAAAUUUUUUUUAAAAAUAGUUGUAAAUACAAUUUUAUUAAAUUUAUAGUUUAAAAUUAUAUUUAAAAGUAAAAUUUUAAAUUCAUAAUUAAAUUUAUGAAUUUAAAGUUGUAUUUAAAAGUAAUUUUGUAAAUUUAUAAUUUUAAAAUUGUGUUUAAAAGUAGAUUUUUUUUUAAAGUUUAAGUAUAUAAAAUAAUAUUUUUUUUAAAAUUGAAGUAUUUGAAAGUAAUAUUUUUUAAAAUUUAAAUAUUUAUUAGAUUAUGAUUAAGUGUUUAAUAAAUAAAAAUAUUAAAAUUAUAGAAUUGAAUCAUGGAAAAUUUUUCAUCACAAAUGAGUUGGGUUUUUAUUUCACUCCAAAGAAAAAUUAGUUAAGACUUAAAAAGUAUAUAAUUAAGUUGAGUCACAUCCAAGCAUACAACUUGAUAUUAGCUCCAAGCCAAUUAAUUUGCAAAUAAUGCUAAAAAUUCAAUCUCAUGGUAUUACAAAUGGAAUUUCUUUGUAUGUUAUGGAAUCGACUUCGAUAUUUUAUUCACAUUUCAACUCAUACAUUUAUAUUACGAAUAUAUGGAAAUUCGAUUUAAUUAAAAUUUUUUUUAAUAUGUAUUUAUUUUUGCAUCUUCUCAACCGGAUCCGCCAGGGUUGCUGAUACUAGGGUCGCUUUUACUAGGAGGAGAAGGUGUUUGCUCCCCUAUUAGUUUUGGCAUCUGAUGAUCAGCAUUGAGUAUAAGGCUGCCCUUUUUAAUUGUGUCCGAAUCAUAUUUUGCCAUUAUCGUAUGCUGUCCUGGAUAUUCAUGAGCAAAAUUGAUAGCCAUGAUCCUCUGAUUCCCAAUUUUCUCCUUCCUUGCUUCCACUUCAAGUUGAAUAGCAAAUGAGGUUGAACCCACAACAAUCAAUAUCAUUAGCAUCACCAACUUCAUCGUCUACCUACUUUCAAGAACGCUGCACUCAGUUAUAUAUUAUUCUAAUUAAGAUGUUAAUAAUUAUUGUAAAAAUAAGAUGAUGAGCACAAAUAAUAACAAAAUUAAUAUAAUUAAAAAGGAAAAGCAAAAACAAAAGCAAAAUCGAAUCAAAGAAUUACCAGAUCUUUUCUAAUUGGUAUCAAACAAGCAACUUGUUAUGGUGCUGCUAAGUUGUAUCAAGUCUGGUACUUAUAAAGGGUUGAUAUUGCUCAUCACCACUUCGUCCGUUGAUUUUUGAAUUUUCCAGGAAGGUGGCAUGGCAUUAAAAUUCAAAGCAAUCAAUCAAUAUUCAUAAACUACCCCAUUUAUUCUUUUUCAAAAAUUUUAAUUCCUCUUUAUUUCAUAAUUUUAUCUAAUUUUUUUUUAUCUUAAAAUAUAGUCUACUUCAUUUAAUUAUAGUUAAGAUAUAAAUUAAUAAUUAUAACUUUAUUUUAUUUUAUUUUAUUUUCAACACAAUUUAAAAUUAAGGUUUCGUUUAUUUACAAAAAAUAAUUUAUAUUAAAAAAUACUUUUUUAAUAGAAAAUAUCUUUUUAUAAAAUAAUUUAUUUUUUAUUGUUUAAUUAUAAUUUUAAAAAUAAAAUAUAUUAAAAUUUUUUAUAUAGUUGUGUUAAUAAUAUUUUCAACGUAUAAAAUAAUUUAUUUAAAUAAGUUAUUUUUUAAAAUAAAUUAAUUUUUUUAAAAUAAUUAUUUUUUAAAAAUAGUCAUUUUUCCGAAAAAAAUCAAUAUAUUACUCUUUUAAUCAAUACAUUUAUUUUUUCUCCUUCAAUUCUUAGUCCAAGCUUAAUUACAAAGUCUACAAUUCAAUCUCUUCCAUUCUUUUUUUUUUUUUUAUAUAUUAUUAAUAGAAGUGAAAAAUUCAUUAAUUGAUAUUUUAAUUUUAAAAAAUAUAUUAAAAUAUUUUUGACAUUUUAAAAAGUCUAAUAAUUAAUUUCUAUAUUAAUUUUAUCCAUUAAAUGUUAUAAAAAAGUCUAAAAUGCCAUGAUAUGCAAAUAUUAAUUAAUAAAUUUUUUAAAAAUCUGAGGGACUAAUUAAUAAAUUUUUAAAAAUUGUAGAAACUAAAUAAUAAAUAAUAUAACGAUAAAAUUAACGAAAAAAAUUAGCUAGUAGACUUUUUAAAAUGUUAAAAAUAUUUUAAUGCAUCAAAAUUAAAAAAUUAAUUAACAAAUUUUUUCAAUAUCAUAGGAAUUAAAUAGUAAUUUUUAUAUUGAUAUUAUUAUUAAGCCUUUUAAAGUCUAGCCAGGCAAAAAAAUAUUAAAUAAUUAAAUUUGUUUUAUCUUUCUCUGUAAAAUUAAAAAUAAAAUUAAAUUUAUUUUCAUGAAUUAUUUUUCUUAUCCUCAUAAUUUUUUGUUAGAGCUUGGCAAUUAUUUCAACUUAUCUUGAAAAAGAUUAAUAUGAAAUACAAUAUUUUUUUUUAUUUAUUUUGGAAAUUCACUAUUAUGUAUGUGAUGAAAUACUAAUGAAGGGGAAUUGAAUUUUAUUAGGAUAACAUAACUGUCUUCUCGCAAAUCAGUGGCUAAUAUAAAGCGGAUAAUAAUCAAAUUGAUGUGCAUGAACAUCGUGGAAGUUAGUGGGAAGACCUAGCCUGGACCAAAAGUCUUGAUGCCACGAAACCAAAUUUACGCCACAAUAAUUGAUGCAUAUAUAAAUUUUUUAAUUUACUAAUAUACAUACAUUACACGAAUAGUAAAAAUAUUUUUAUUAAAUUUAUUAAUAUAAAUUUAAAUAUUAAUAUAUAGCUUGUUGUAUAUUGCACUCACAUAUUUAAUCUGGUGGUAAGUAUAAGAGCCCGGAAACCGGACCGCUACCGGCGCUAGGAUUCAAGUCGGCUUAAGGCCGCCGGAACCCGUAGUAAGUCUGCUGUAAACUCUGUGUACCUGUUCAAUCCCAUACAUGAUCAUAUAUUUCUAUAAAAAUUUGAACUUUUUCAUUAUCCAAGUUCGACCUAUGCAUGCA
This 19175-nucleotide long non-coding RNA is filed under the name Manihot esculenta (cassava). RNAcentral's name for it is "long non-coding RNA (MESC_LNC006178)". Lineage: Eukaryota; Viridiplantae; Streptophyta; Magnoliopsida; Malpighiales; Euphorbiaceae. The record is from RNAcentral.